Molecule: ribosomal RNA, 487 nt
Filed under: uncultured Paracoccaceae bacterium
Lineage: Bacteria; Pseudomonadati; Pseudomonadota; Alphaproteobacteria; Rhodobacterales; Paracoccaceae
Description: bacterial SSU rRNA
Rfam family: Bacterial small subunit ribosomal RNA
Source: RNAcentral
CGGAACCGUGAGGGAUUAACGGCAUUCUGGUUGGAAAGCUCUGUCACCCGGGAGGAUUAUGACGGUACCCGGAGAAGAAACCCCAGGCUAACUCCGUGCCAGCAGCCGCGGUAAUACGGAGGGGGCUAGCGUUGUUCGGAAUUACUGGGCGUAAAGCGCGCGUAGGCGGAUCGAUAAGUCAGGGGUGAAAUCCCGGGGCUCAACCCCGGAACUGCCUUUGAUACUGCCGAUCUAGAGUUCGAGAGAGGUGAGUGGAAUUCCGAGUGUAGAGGUGAAAUUCGUAGAUAUUCGGAGGAACACCAGUGGCGAAGGCGGCUCACUGGCUCGAUACUGACGCUGAGGUGCGAAAGCGUGGGAGCAAACAGGAUUAGAUACCCUGGUAGUCCACACCGUAAACGAUGAAAGCUAGUCGUCGGGUAGUAUACUAUUCGGUGACGCACCUAACGCAUUAAGCUUUCCGCCUGGGGAGUACGGUCGCAAGAUUAAA